GGUGGUGCAUGGCUGUCGUCAGCUCGUGUCGUGAGGUGUUGGGUUAAGUCCCGCAACGAGCGCAACCCCUAUGUUUAGUUGCCAGCACGUAAUGGUGGGGACUCUAGACAGACUGCCUGCGCAAGCAGUGAGGAAGGCGGGGACGACGUCAGGUCAUCAUGGCCCUUACGCCUAGGGCGACACACGUGCUACAAUGGACGGUACAGCGGGUAGCUACUGGGCGACCAGAUGCCAAUCUCGAAAAGCCGUUCUCAGUUCGGAUCGGAGUCUGCAACUCGACUCCGUGAAGCUGGAAUCACUAGUAAUCGCGCAUCAGCCAUGGCGCGGUGAAUACGUUCCCGGGCCUUGUACACACCGCCCGUCAAGCCAUGAAAGUCUGGUAGACCUGAAGCUGGUGCUCCGCAACGAAGCCAGUUAGGGAGUGAUAUGAGUACAGA
Molecule: ribosomal RNA, 437 nt
Filed under: uncultured bacterium
Lineage: Bacteria
Description: bacterial SSU rRNA
Rfam family: Bacterial small subunit ribosomal RNA
Source: RNAcentral